GAGAUGCAGAGGGCAGAGGAGCAACAGCUGAGCGCAGCCCAUUUGCACAGCUGUCUAGCAAGGUCAGGGAGGGAAAGUCUGCACAGGGGAGGUCUGGGCUGGGCAUGUCUGCCAGCAAGUUCCCAGACACUGCCAGGGCUACUCAGGUUGAGAGGGGGCCCGGGGCCCUGGCACUCUCUGGGAAGGAAAGAGGAAGUAACAGGGACAGCUUCCACACCAGUGGGAAAGCAGAAAUUCGGUGAGAAACAGAAGUUCCCUCACACUGCCUUGUGUCAGUUCCUCAAACCUAAAUCGAAAGUCAGCAGGGUGGCAUAAAAAAUCUCGCCAAACUGGAAAUCAAGAGAUUGGGCUGCAUCCUUGAUUUGUCGCUGGCAUGGGCCUCACCAUCUCAACACCUUUACUUUGGGGACGAAGCUAGCAACACAUGAGCUUUGGGAAGAAAGUCAUAUCCAAACCACAGCACACAGUGGAGUGUUAUGCAGCCUUGACGAGGAAAGAAAUCCUAACAGACAUUUCAACGCAGGAAAAGCCACCUCUUCUUCAGUCACCUGCGGAGGUUGUGACCCGGCUCUCAUUGUUGAAGAACUAGGCACUGGCUCCAGUCAUUGGCUUCUCUCUCCUCUGCAGGUCAUGGGCUGGAGCCUGCUGUCUCCUCAGUGACAAACUGCUACCACCUGAUGUAAUAUGUCAAACCAGGCCUGAAAACUCCUCCAACAAGAUGGUUGGUUUGGCCUCAGGCACUUGUGAGUGUUCAGGGAUGUGCUGCCCUGAAUUUUUCCCAGCCUUUUAGGAUGUCUGUGGUUGCAGACUACGCACUGCAGAAGUAGCAGAUGCCAUUACGGCAGUAGAAAUGCAAUUAUGAAAAGGCACAGCCCUCUGCUUCUGCCAGGAGAGCCAGCAGUUGUGCCUCAAGGAGCACUACGUGUGAAUUCACCCAAGUCCAAGCGUUGGCCACGAGUUUCAGAGCUUAAGAAUCCUGAUUUGACAGUGCACUGGGAGCAGCACAAUGGCCCACAGAAAAAUCCACUAACUAUGCUCCUGAGACUGCUGUAUCCAGCCAGAAGAACAAGAAAUAAGGUUUUCAAAGUCACUGAGUCAACUUUUAUUGCUUCCCAAAUGAGUAAAAUGGAUUGAAGAGAAGCAGUGCCUUCCUCAAAGCCAUCAGCUCUGAGUCAGUAUGAAGACAUGAUAACUGGAGGACUGCAGUCAUUUUGCUACCAUGAGGAAAUAAACUAAGAACCAAUAUAUUCAAGGGUCUCUCUACACUGCUUAAUGGCCCAGACUGGGCUCCAAUUGCGAUCCUCCCGCCACAGCCUCCAAAGUGCAGGAUUACAGGCAUGUGCCACUCUGUCCAGCCUCAUCGUGUGUUUUAUUCCUUGUGGCCUUGUUCCUUGUAUAGGCUGUCAGCUGGCAUUUGGGAUGACUCUGGGGUUUACCCAGGAGAGACCUGGAGACAGCUGGCUACCUUUCCCAUCCACUGCAGCCCCAACAGAUGCCCGCUGUCUGGUGUGAGAAAGCACUGGGCUGGAGGGCAGAUGGGUCCUUCCAUUGCUGGCUGAACUAUCACAAAUGGACCUAACAAGGUGGAAGGACAGGCUGCAAAUUGAGAAGUGCUGCAGCAAAAUUGGAAAACAGAGACGGUAAAGGGGAAGUGAACAGUGAGUCUGGAAAGCAGUGUCACUGCAGCUGCUAAAAUGUCUUGGAAGGUUCAUCCUGGACACAGACUGCCGCAAUGUGUCAGUUCACCCAGAUCGACAGAUAGUGUAGUAUCCCAAAGCUGAAAACUGCAGGAGAAUCUAAUGGCUUCCCUUUUCAGCCCAUUCUUUUCAAAUAUCGGCAGACUCUUCUCAAUCCCUUGUUCAUGCUCAUUUUUACGGACAAUGUCUGAUCAUAAAACUAGACAUCAUGCAGGGUGCAGUCAUGCAAGCUUAUAAUCCUAGUACUUGGAAGCUGUUGUGGGAUGAUUACCAUGAGUUCAAGACCAGCCUAAAUUGUCUCAACCCAUCCCUGAAAAAGCUAAGUACCAAAGUAUAUCUCUAUCGGGGCUGGGGAUUUAGCUCAGCGGCAUAAGCGCCUGCCUUGCAAGCAGGCAGUCGUGAGUUCGAUCCCUGGUACCGAUAAAAAGAAAAAAGACAAAAAAAAAACAAAAA
Molecule: long non-coding RNA, 2150 nt
Organism: Cavia porcellus (domestic guinea pig)
Lineage: Eukaryota; Metazoa; Chordata; Mammalia; Rodentia; Caviidae
Exons: 8
Source: RefSeq, a predicted model, not a curated record